AUUGAACGCUGGCGGCAGGCUUAACACAUGCAAGUCGAGCGGGGAAGGGUAGCUUGCUACCUAACCUAGCGGCGGACGGGUGAGUAAUGCUUAGGAACCUGCCAUUUAGUGGGGGACAACAUUCCGAAAGGAAUGCUAAUACCGCAUACGUCCUACGGGAGAAAGCAGGGGAUCUUCGGACCUUGCGCUAAAUGAUGAGCCUAAGUCGGAUUAGCUAGUUGGUGGGGUAAAGGCCUACCAAGGCGACGAUCUGUAGCGGGUCUGAGAGGAUGAGCCGGCACACUGGGACUGAGACACGGCCCAGACUCCUACGGGAGGCAGCAGUGGGGAAUAUUGGACAAUGGGCGGAAGCCUGAUCCAGCCAUGCCGCGUGUGUGAAGAAGGCCUUAUGGUUGUAAAGCACUUUAAGCGAGGAGGAGGCUACUAGUAUUAAUACUACUGGAUAGUGGACGUUACUCGCAGAAUAAGCACCGGCUAACUCUGUGCCAGCCGCCGCCGUAA
Molecule: ribosomal RNA, 501 nt
Filed under: uncultured bacterium
Lineage: Bacteria
Description: partial 16S ribosomal RNA
Rfam family: Bacterial small subunit ribosomal RNA
Source: RNAcentral